AUUGAACGCUGGCGGCAGGCCUAACACAUGCAAGUCGAGCGAGCGGCGGACGGGUGAGUAAUGUCUGGGGAUCUGCCUGAUAGAGGGGGAUAACUACUGGAAACGGUGGCUAAUACCGCAUACUAUCGGAUGAACCCAGAUGGGAUUAGGUAGUAGGUGGGUUAAAGGCUAACCUAGGCGACGAUCUCUAGCUGGUCUGAGAGGAUGAUCAGCCCCACUGGAACUGAGACACGGCCCAGACUCCUACGGGAGGCAGCAUUGGGGAAUAUUGCACAAUGGGCGCAAGCCUGAUGCAGCCAUGCCGCGUGUAUGAAUACGGCCUUAGGGUUGUAAAGUACUUUCAGCGGGGAGGCGUUACCCGCAGAAGAAGCACCGGCUAACUCCGUGCCAGCAGCCGCGGUAAUUC
This 406-nucleotide ribosomal RNA is filed under the name uncultured bacterium. RNAcentral's name for it is "partial 16S ribosomal RNA". It matches the Rfam family "Bacterial small subunit ribosomal RNA", at positions 30 to 526 of the family's 1533-position model. The record is from RNAcentral.